Molecule: long non-coding RNA, 647 nt
Organism: Malus domestica (apple)
Lineage: Eukaryota; Viridiplantae; Streptophyta; Magnoliopsida; Rosales; Rosaceae
Source: RefSeq, a predicted model, not a curated record
UAACGGCCCACCAAAGGCGCCACCCAACGCCUCUCCGCAACGGAAAAUUAAGAAAAAAAGAAAACGAAAUCGCAAAGUUCGGGUCCGAGAUCCGGCGAGCCUCGUCGGGUUUCGACCACCUGAAUUCGAAUCAUUAGUUUCGGAGCUCCGAAACGCACCGUUUCUCUCCUCUCGUCGACUUCGAGUUCUCCGACAAUGAAGGGGUCCGGCAGUCUGGUCGCGUCGGUGGUCGCCGUUUCGACGGUGGCUCUGACGACGUCGUCACCGUCCAACCAGGGUUCUUCUUCCCCGGCGACGAAGAACGGCGGACAAAAUUCGAAUUCGGCGUCGGAUAAGGAUAAAUUCGAGCCGAGAUUCGACGGGUUGAGGUUCAUUGAGACGCUGGUGACGGCGCACAGAUGAUUAAUUUGACGGCGGAGCUCUGGAGUUAAUUGUCAGCCCCGCGAUUAGAAUUCAAAGGAAGAAAACUUGUGCUUUCCUUUUUCUUUCCUCUUUAUUUUUUCUUAUUUUUCCGAAGUUGAAGACUUUGGCUUCGAUUUGUGAUUGGGUCCCUUUUGGGUGUUUAAUUUAGGUUCUCCAAUCUCAUAAUUCAUAUUAAUUACCAUUUAAUCUCAUAUUAAUUCAAUGAGAAGCUUUUUCUUUUUCUU